Molecule: small RNA, 66 nt
Filed under: Salmonella enterica
Lineage: Bacteria; Pseudomonadati; Pseudomonadota; Gammaproteobacteria; Enterobacterales; Enterobacteriaceae
Also listed under: 1 other name
Description: partial RtT sRNA
Rfam family: RtT RNA
About the family: This family represents a bacterial cis-regulatory element known as RtT RNA. The exact function of RtT is unknown although it is thought that it may be involved in changing the cellular response in relation to amino acid starvation.
Source: RNAcentral
CGUUGCCGCAGGCAACGACCCGAAGGGCGAAACGCGCAGCGCUGAGUCAUCCUUCCCCCACCACCA